This 59-nucleotide transfer RNA is filed under the name Otolemur garnettii (small-eared galago). It matches the Rfam family "tRNA", at positions 7 to 64 of the family's 71-position model. Rfam says of the family: Transfer RNA (tRNA) molecules are approximately 80 nucleotides in length. Their secondary structure includes four short double-helical elements and three loops (D, anti-codon, and T loops). Lineage: Eukaryota; Metazoa; Chordata; Mammalia; Primates; Galagidae. The record is from Rfam by way of RNAcentral.
GUGGCUCAAAGGAGUAGGGCACUGGCCCUAAAUGCCAGAGGUACUGGGUUCAACCCAGC